RNAcentral lists this ribosomal RNA (82 nucleotides) under Pleurostemma intusmalleata crassa. RNAcentral's name for it is "partial 28S ribosomal RNA". It matches the Rfam family "Eukaryotic large subunit ribosomal RNA", at positions 1 to 80 of the family's 3401-position model. The record is from RNAcentral. Lineage: Eukaryota; Metazoa; Mollusca; Gastropoda; Stylommatophora; Urocoptidae.
UCCGACCUCAGAUCGGACGAGGUUACCCGCUGAAUUUAAGCAUAUAAAUAAGCGGAGGAAAAGAAACUAACAAGGAUUCCCU